UGGAACUGAGUCCUUGUCUACAGGGGAAGGU
Molecule: non-coding RNA, 31 nt
Filed under: Mus musculus (house mouse)
Lineage: Eukaryota; Metazoa; Chordata; Mammalia; Rodentia; Muridae
Source: RNAcentral